This 253-nucleotide ribosomal RNA is filed under the name uncultured bacterium. RNAcentral's name for it is "partial 16S ribosomal RNA". It matches the Rfam family "Bacterial small subunit ribosomal RNA", at positions 524 to 776 of the family's 1533-position model. The record is from RNAcentral.
UACGUAGGUGGCAAGCGUUGUCCGGAAUUAUUGGGCGUAAAGCGCGCGCAGGCGGUUCGAUAAGUCUGAUGUGAAAGCCCACGGCUCAACCGUGGAGGGUCAUUGGAAACUGUCGAACUUGAGUGCAGAAGAGAAGAGUGGAAUUCCACGUGUAGCGGUGAAAUGCGUAGAGAUGUGGAGGAACACCAGUGGCGAAGGCGACUCUUUGGUCUGUAACUGACGCUGAGGCGCGAAAGCGUGGGGAGCAAACAGG